Long non-coding RNA from Mauremys mutica (yellowpond turtle), 486 nucleotides. RefSeq lists it as uncharacterized. NCBI's taxonomy places the organism in Eukaryota, Metazoa, Chordata, Testudines, Geoemydidae. The transcript has 3 exons. The record is from RefSeq and is a predicted model, not a curated record.
UUCCUGGCAGGCUGAAAAAGGUGUGUGUUUGAUAGGGGUUUUGGAGAAGGCUCAGAGUAAGCUUCCCAAAAUGAUGAAUAGAUGGAAUGGAUAUUUGGUUAGCCACCUGCUCAGCCGUUGGUAAAAGCCCUUCUCCUUGAGGGUCUGUCCAGUGCACAUGCAAUGGUUGUGGGAGUUAACAAAUUCACAAGCAAUUACUGUUCAUAUUCCAGUGAGGCUGUGAUAGCAUUUUUCUUAUAUGCAUAUCUGGAUUUCCCUCCCUGAAAUUCUCCCCGUCUCAGGAGAACCUCAGCCAUGGCUGUCCUGACUCUGGAUGACCCGAGAGGCAGGUGACAAGGAGGCAGAGAAUGGACUUACUCAAAAAGACAAAGGGCACACCAGUCAAGUUAUUCACCAAGAUGGUCCCCCAGGAGUGCUGCAGGAGCGAAAGGGAAUCACAAACUAUACCAGGGUAGUGCAGCUUUUCCUCAUAAUCUACAAACAACA